Molecule: ribosomal RNA, 433 nt
Filed under: uncultured bacterium
Lineage: Bacteria
Description: partial 16S ribosomal RNA
Rfam family: Bacterial small subunit ribosomal RNA
Source: RNAcentral
AACGAACGCUGGCGGCAUGCCUAACACAUGCAAGUCGAACGAGACCUUCGGGUCUAGUGGCGCACGGGUGCGUAACGCGUGGGAACCUGCCCUUAGGUUCGGAAUAACUCCCCGACAGGGGUGCUAAUACCGGCUAAUGUCUUCGGACCAAAGAUUUAUCGCCUUUGGAUGGGCCCGCGUUGGAUUAGCUAGUUGGUAGGGUAAAAGCCUACCAAGGCGACGAUCCAUAGCUGGUCUGAGAGGAUGAUCAGCCACACUGGGACUGAGACACGGCCCAGACUCCUACGGGAGGCAGCAGUGGGGAAUAUUGGACAAUGGGCGAAAGCCUGAUCCAGCAAUGCCGCGUGAGUGAUGAAGGCCUUAGGGUUGUAAAGCUCUUUUACCCGGGAUGAUAAUGACAGUACCGGGAGAAUAAGCUCCGGCUAACUCCGUG